This 416-nucleotide transfer-messenger RNA is filed under the name Candidatus Berkelbacteria bacterium. It matches the Rfam family "transfer-messenger RNA". Rfam says of the family: Bacterial tmRNA, also known as 10Sa RNA or SsrA, is named for its dual tRNA and mRNA-like properties. Its role is to liberate the mRNA from a stalled ribosome. Lineage: Bacteria; Candidatus Berkelbacteria. The record is from RNAcentral.
GGGCGUGAAUUAAAGUUCGACGGUUGGUCUUUAACAAAACGUGCAAGCCGAAACGUCUAAUUGCGUUAAAUUAGAUAAAAAAUAAGUGCAAUCUUGGCAUUAUUUACAGGUCUUGUAGCGGGAGUAAAGAAGCUUUUUGCUUCUCUAACCCCUGCAAGACCAGCAUUUGCGCUUGCGUAAUUAAGCAGGCGCCGUCUGGGUAAUUGGGCCUAAACAAUUACCUAAGGCGUGAUAAUGUUAGGCUAGCAAGCCAAAGUUCGUCUUUGCUUUGGUCUUGCGAAAACUUUUCAAAGACGGCUCUUUAAGUUAUUUUUGCCUGGUUUUAGAGACUAAAGAGCUAAAUAAACCAGGCUAAGCUUGUAGAGCGUUUUGUUAUUGCCAGCCGGACGCGGGUGCAAUUCCCGCCACGUCCACCA